This 747-nucleotide ribosomal RNA is filed under the name uncultured Azonexus sp. RNAcentral describes it as "bacterial SSU rRNA". It matches the Rfam family "Bacterial small subunit ribosomal RNA", at positions 28 to 769 of the family's 1533-position model. The record is from RNAcentral. Lineage: Bacteria; Pseudomonadati; Pseudomonadota; Betaproteobacteria; Rhodocyclales; Azonexaceae.
AUUGAACGCUGGCGGCAUGCUUUACACAUGCAAGUCGAACGGCAGCGCGGGGGCAACCCUGGCGGCGAGUGGCGAACGGGUGAGUAAUGCAUCGGAACGUAUCCUGUAAUGGGGGAUAACGUAGCGAAAGUUACGCUAAUACCGCAUACGCUCGAGAGAGGAAAGUGGGGGAUCGCAAGACGUCACGUUAUAGGAGCGGCCGAUGUCCGAUUAGCUAGUUGGUGGGGUAAAGGCCUACCAAGGCGACGAUCGGUAGCUGGUCUGAGAGGAUGAUCAGCCACACUGGGACUGAGACACGGCCCAGACUCCUACGGGAGGCAGCAGUGGGGAAUUUUGGACAAUGGGCGAAAGCCUGAUCCAGCCAUGCCGCGUGCGGGAAGAAGGCCUUCGGGUUGUAAACCGCUUUAGUCCGGGACAACGGGGUGCGAGGAUAAUACCCUUGUGCUUUGAUGGUACUGGAAGAAUAAGCACCGGCUAACUACGUGCCAGCAGCCGCGGUAAUACGUAGGGUGCGAGCGUUAAUCGGAAUUACUGGGCGUAAAGCGUGCGCAGGCGGUCUUGUAAGACAGUCGUGAAAGCCCCGGGCUUAACCUGGGAACUGCGAUUGUGACUGCAAGGCUAGAGUGUGUCAGAGGGGGGUGGAAUUCCACGUGUAGCAGUGAAAUGCGUAGAGAUGUGGAGGAACACCGAUGGCGAAGGCAGCCCCCUGGGAUAACACUGACGCUCAUGCACGAAAGCGUGGGGAGC